CUCUUUAACUAAUGGUGAAAAACAAGGCAACUCUUCAAACGUAAGGUGCUGUUAAAAUUGAUUAAUAAUUUUGGGCCUGAAGGCGGAAAGAUGGUGACACCGACAUCACCAACCAAGCUCUGAAAUCAGUUAGGGAAAAAGGGUGUAAUAAUUGAAUCACGUGAGCCCUUGGUUGGUCACGGUUCGGAAACGUGUUACGCGGUUCGUGAAUCGUAGUCAAAAAGGGGUCCAAGCUGUCGAGAACACGAACAGUAUAGGCUAUACUGUAUAGCUUAGCUAGACAGCUGGAUUAUUUUGUUCCGUACGACUUAUUUUUGUUCUUCUUCAACAUUUGUCGACUUCUUCACUCUCUCUCUUUAUACUUGUACUAUAAUAGUAUUUUAAUUCGGAAUUAAUUGUGGCAUUUAUU
Molecule: unclassified non-coding RNA, 409 nt
Filed under: Arabidopsis thaliana (thale cress)
Lineage: Eukaryota; Viridiplantae; Streptophyta; Magnoliopsida; Brassicales; Brassicaceae
Source: RNAcentral